Molecule: long non-coding RNA, 957 nt
Organism: Platichthys flesus (European flounder)
Lineage: Eukaryota; Metazoa; Chordata; Actinopteri; Pleuronectiformes; Pleuronectidae
Exons: 4
Source: RefSeq, a predicted model, not a curated record
CUCACUCUGGAAUUAUUGAACAAACUGUUUUUAUUGUACUUUGAAAUAUCCCCGUUCCCGUUCUGGGCGGUUUGGAUGCGUUUACCAUAAAUAUCAGUAUAUAGGUGCAGUAGAAUUUCUGUGUCGGCUGAUUUGACCGAAGACACGCGAGUGUCGGCUGGCUUGACCGCAGUGACCCACCACAGAUGCGCACACAUGGCACGCAGCUUUCUAUGAAAACACUGCGACCUCACUACAAAAGUACAGGCACACAGAAAACUGUGCUGCACUGAUGUCUGUGUUGGGACCUCAGCUGUAUGAGACCUCGCUUGGAGGAGGGAGAGGACAACCCAAGUUGUUAAAGUAUGGACUUCGGAGAGCCACAGGAUGCUACCUAUGAUCCUGAUGACUCGAUCACAGUCUUGACUGACUGUUGCAGCCUUUUGGUGAAAUCUUUGUCGUUCAUAAGACACCCACAUAUAUUGUCUAUGAAAACUACCUCCUGGAGCUGCUUGAGGUGUGUCCUGUGUGUCGGCGGGGGACAGAUGUAAUAUAUAAGAAGGGCGAGUGCACAGCAAAGCCGGUGAAAGCAGAUGCAACCUUCCAUUACGUGGACAAGCAGGAAGUUAUAGCCAGCUAUGUGAGCAUCAGGGAACACUCUGCGUAUCUGGAGAACUGAGCAGCAGGGCAGGACCACCCUGAUUCUCCGGCCCAGAGGGCCUCAACAACAGCUAACAAAGCUUCUGUACGCCAAAUACCUGUAACGGCUGAGCAAAGUUCACAUUAUAUUUAGAGAAUAAAAGGUGACACACAAAUAUAAAUUGUUCCUCUGUUUACAGUAUGGCUACUGAUGGCACAAACUGAUUUUUGUAAUCAAUGUUUUUAUUAUACUUGGUAUUUUUUGUAUUUAAUUACAUCUGUCCCAGUCAGUACAUUUAAUAAGUGUUUAAAAAACUCUGUGGCAUUCUUUCUAGCAAU